This is an RNA transcript of Equus caballus (horse), 3543 nucleotides long. It is a transcript of the gene named TRAF interacting protein, with no coding region annotated. NCBI's taxonomy places the organism in Eukaryota, Metazoa, Chordata, Mammalia, Perissodactyla, Equidae. The record is from RefSeq and is a predicted model, not a curated record.
CUGAGAGUGCAGAUCAUCCUCACCACCAUGUGUUACUUGAUGCAGGGGUGGGGGUGGGGGUGUCUUCUGGACCCUAUAAAUCCACAUGGGUGGUUGGUCCUCUGCUGGGCUUAUGCCAAGGAAUAACCUCUGGGCUGCUGUUCCGACAAGUCCUGUUGAAUAAGGAGCUCUUGUCUUGACUUAGGCAUAGAAUUGGAACCCACCAAGGACCAGCCACCUUAGGGAGAGACCUGGCCAAUGACCAAAGUGGGCUUCCCUGGGCUGGGGAGAGGGUGCAGGGUGGGCAUUGCACCAAGGUUCUAUGCUGCCCCCUUUGUGUUGAUUCCUCCUUUCUGUGAACAACACCUGUGCUCUCCACGUAGGCCCAAAGGACUUCAUGCUGGUCUACUUCAGGUGAAACAAAUCAGCUUUAUAUUAUAGGACUCUGAAUAAGGUUUCUUCUGGGGAAAGGGGAGUAACACUGCUAAAAAUAACUAAGUUUGAGAACUCCUAGGAAGAGUUACCCCAGCCCCAAUGGCCCCAGUGAACUCACCAGAGAUGCUGCUCUUUCUCAGGGAGCAUCCCAAAGACAACUUCUCUGAUGUGGGAAUAAUAAAAAGGGGUUGUUAGUCACUGGCCUAUGAAGCAUCUGGGCCUUCAAAAUUCCAACUCCGCUGUAGUCUGGAGGCAUAGCUGAUCCUCCUGGGAGCUAAGAGCUAAAGUCAGGCUACUGGCUCUGCUGCCUCCAAACUUAGGGAUCAUCAUGCUUUGCUUGGAUAAAGCCAGGGUGACCUUGGGGUGUCUUGAGGGGUGUCCCAAAAAACCUGUGUCCAUCUUUCUAGGACCACUCAAAGCCGAGGGUUUGGGAGGGUGGAGCAGUCUUUUGAUCUGUGGGAACUAUGGCCUUCCAGGGUAUGGUCCAGCACUGCCCAGAACCCAGGGUACCCGCUGUCCAUCGGGACCAUCGUCCCAUUCCCCUCUGGCCGCAGUCUUCUCGACUCGAGAAGUGCAGAGAAGGCUGCUCUGAGAAAACAGGACUGAGGAGCCCGUUCCCGGCGCGCCUCGCACCAGCUCUGGCUUGGGACCAUAUCGCCCUGUAUUGCUCCAGAAAGGGGCCUGUCUGGCGGCGUAGCUGCUCCCCGUCCCAGUCCAGCCCUACGCUCUCACGGUACCGGCUGAAUCUACCCGGGAGCCGCCUGAAAGUUACCGCUAGCGGGUUCAAGUCCUAACUCCGCCCCAGGAUUCUCUAAGGCCCCUGGGGUGUUAAGCCCCGCCCCGUGAGGGUUCGUCCAAUCCAGGCCCAACCUUCAGGCUCCGCCGCCACUUUCUCGCCACUUCCGGUCUGCUCCCGGAAGUCACUCAGUGGAGCCAAAUUUGAAGCGAGCGGAGGCGGGGGCGUCCUCACGAAGCUGGACCAGUCGCGGUUUUCUUGGCUAUCUGGGCCCUCUGAGAACAGUCAUCAUGCCUAUCCGUGCGCUGUGCACCAUCUGCUCCGACUUCUUCGACCACUCCCGCGACGUGGCCGCCAUCCACUGCGGCCACACCUUUCACCUGCAGUGCCUAAUUCAGUGGUUCGAGACAGCACCAAGUCGGACCUGUCCGCAGUGCCGAAUCCAGGUUGGCAGAAGAACCAUUAUCAACAAGCUCUUCUUUGACCUUGCCCAGGAGGAGGAGAGUGUCUUAGAUGCAGAAUUCUUAAAGAAUGAACUGGAUAAUACCAGAGCCCAGCUUUCCCAGAAAGAGAAGGAGAAACGGGACAGCCAGGUCAUCAUUGACACUCUGCGGGACACGCUGGAAGAACGCAAUGCCACCGUGGAAUCUCUGCAGAGGGCCUUGGACAAGGCCGAGAUGCUGUGCUCCACCCUCAAGAAGCAGAUGAAGUACUUGGAGCAGCAGCAGGAUGAGACCAAACAAGCACGAGAGGAAGCCCGCCGACUCAGGAGCAAGAUGAAGACCAUGGAGCGGAUUGAGCUCCUACUUCAGAGCCAGCGGCCGGAGGUGGAGGAGAUGAUCCGAGACAUGGGUGUGGGACAGUCAGCAGUGGAGCAACUGGCUGUGUACUGCGUAUCCCUUAAGAAAGAGUAUGAGAAUCUAAAAGAGGCUCGGAAGGCCUCAGGGGAGCUAGCUGACAAGCUGAAGAAGGACUUGUUUUCUUCCAGAAGCAAGUUGCAGACAGUCUACUCUGAGCUAGACCAGACCAAGUUGGAGCUGAGGUCGGCCCAGAAGGACUUACAGAGUGCUGACAAAGAAAUCGUGAGCCUGAAAAAAAAGCUAACGAUGCUGCAGGAAACCCUAAACCUACCGCCAGUGGACAGCGAGACUGUCAACCGCCUGGUUUUAGAGAGCCCAGCUCCUGUGGAGGUGCUGAAUUUGAAGCUUCGCCGGCCAGCCUUCAGUGAUGAUAUUGACCUCAAUGCCACCUUUGAUGUGGCCACCCCCCCAGGCCGGCCUUCUAGCAUCCAGCAUGGUCACACUAAGAAGCUCUGUCCAGAGAAGGCACACUCUCCCGUUCAAGACAUUCCCAAGAAGAUGCCCAAAGGUCACAAGCAGGAGUCCCAGCUCUCACUGGGCGGCCAGCGCUGUGUGGGAGAGCCAGAUGAGGAGCUGGCUGGUGCCUUCCCUGUCUUCAUCCGGAAUGCUGUCCUGGGCCAGAAACAGCUCAAGAGGGCCAGGGUGGAGCCCUGUCGCAACACAGAUGCAGUAAGGACAGGCUUCGAUGGGCUUGGAGGCCGAACAAAAUUCAUCCAGCCUGUAUCCUUGUUCUGUGGCAUUGGGCUGAGCUGAGCUAUAGAGUCCACACCAUCCGUACCCUGUACCCACCUACCCCAGCCUGCCAGUGGCUGCAGCCUCAGGCCUCUUCCUUGACAUCUCCUUCAGACUGACACGACUAUGAUCCGCCCACUGCCUGUUAAGCCCAAGGCCAAGGCUAAGCAGAGAAUAGCGGCAAGGACCCUGCUCCCUCCCUCCCAGGCAAAGCUGGACAACUUCCUGUGGUAGUGAGAACAGUGAGUCUGAUCAAUGGCCAGAUACAUGCCUCCAACUUAUAAGCUGAGGACUGGCGACUGGCUCGGCAGGGAGUUUUGGAGGCAAGGCCCCUCUUCCAGGACCAGCCCUGAGGGCAAGGGAAGACGAGAAGAUGGGGUGAGGGUGAGGUCCAGAGACUGCUUUUCCUGUACUCACUCUGCCCCACCCCCAACAUACUGGGCCUACCUGUGGGAGCUAAUGUGACUAGCUCUCUGUUCAUGCUAGCAGCACAUGCUCCCUGUUCCAGGCUCCCAUUUAUAGCCAUGAUCAGAUGUCGCUGGGCUGUUUCUUGUCCUCCAGACCAUGGUCUUUUGUUGACUGUAUGGACCAAAGUGCUUGAGGCUUCUCAGGCAUCAUCAGCCUGCCCAAGCUUCUGCCAGCCUCCCUCUUGCUGCUGGGCAUGGCCUGAGCCAAGCAGGAUGGGGAAUAGGGGAUGGUGGUGGGGAGAGGAUGGGGGAAAGAUUUCUAUGUAAAAUAAAAAAGAAAGAAUCUCUUUUUCCUGGCUCUGGGCAUAUAAAUUUGCAUCAACACUUUGGAAAA